GAUGAACGCUGGCGGCGUGCCUAAUACAUGCAAGUCGAGCGAACAGACGAGGAGCUUGCUCCUCUGACGUUAGCGGCGGACGGGUGAGUAACACGUGGAUAACCUACCUAUAAGACUGGGAUAACUUCGGGAAACCGGAGCUAAUACCGGAUAAUAUAUUGAACCGCAUGGUUCAAUAGUGAAAGACGGUUUUGCUGUCACUUAUAGAUGGAUCCGCGCCGCAUUAGCUAGUUGGUAAGGUAACGGCUUACCAAGGCAACGAUGCGUAGCCGACCUGAGAGGGGGAUGGGCGACAGUGGAAUAGAGACAAGGUACAGAGUACUGCGGGAGGGAGCAGGGGGGAAUGUGACGAAAUGGGCGGAAGCUUGACGGAUCAAGGCCGAGGGAGUGAUGAAGGGUGUCGGAUAGUAAAAAAGUGUUAUUAGGGAAGAAAAAAGGUGUAAGGAACUAUGAAGGGCUAGACGGGACCGAAUCAGAAAGACACGGCUAAUUACGUG
This 497-nucleotide ribosomal RNA is filed under the name uncultured bacterium. RNAcentral's name for it is "partial 16S ribosomal RNA". It matches the Rfam family "Bacterial small subunit ribosomal RNA", at positions 28 to 507 of the family's 1533-position model. The record is from RNAcentral.